Molecule: ribosomal RNA, 1944 nt
Filed under: Campylobacter jejuni
Lineage: Bacteria; Pseudomonadati; Campylobacterota; Epsilonproteobacteria; Campylobacterales; Campylobacteraceae
Description: partial 23S ribosomal RNA
Rfam family: Bacterial large subunit ribosomal RNA
Source: RNAcentral
AGUGAUAAAAUCCGUCGUCAAGAGGGAAACAACCCAGACUACCAGCUAAGGUCCCUAAGUCUUACUUAAGUGGAAAACGAUGUGAAGUUACUUAAACAACCAGGAGGUUGGCUUAGAAGCAGCCAUCCUUUAAAGAAAGCGUAAUAGCUCACUGGUCUAGUGAUUUUGCGCGGAAAAUAUAACGGGGCUAAAGUAAGUACCGAAGCUGUAGACUUAGUUUACUAAGUGGUAGGAGAGCGUUCUAUUUGCGUCGAAGGUAUACCGGUAAGGAGUGCUGGAGCGAAUAGAAGUGAGCAUGCAGGCAUGAGUAGCGAUAAUUAAUGUGAGAAUCAUUAACGCCGUAAACCCAAGGUUUCCUACGCGAUGCUCGUCAUCGUAGGGUUAGUCGGGUCCUAAGUCGAGUCCGAAAGGGGUAGACGAUGGCAAAUUGGUUAAUAUUCCAAUACCAACAUUAGUGUGCGAUGGAAGGACGCUUAGGGCUAAGGGGGCUAGCGGAUGGAAGUGCUAGUCUAAGGUCGUAGGAGGUUAUACAGGCAAAUCCGUAUAACAAUACUCCGAGAACUGAAAGGCUUUUUGAAGUCUUCGGAUGGAUAGAAGAACCCCUGAUGCCGUCGAGCCAAGAAAAGUUUCUAAGUUUAGCUAAUGUUGCCCGUACCGUAAACCGACACAGGUGGGUGGGAUGAGUAUUCUAAGGCGCGUGGAAGAACUCUCUUUAAGGAACUCUGCAAAAUAGCACCGUAUCUUCGGUAUAAGGUGUGGUUAGCUUUGUAUUAGGAUUUACUCCGAAAGCAAGGAAACUUACAACAAAGAGUCCCUCCCGACUGUUUACCAAAAACACAGCACUCUGCUAACUCGUAAGAGGAUGUAUAGGGUGUGACGCCUGCCCGGUGCUCGAAGGUUAAUUGAUGGGGUUAGCAUUAGCGAAGCUCUUGAUCGAAGCCCGAGUAAACGGCGGCCGUAACUAUAACGGUCCUAAGGUAGCGAAAUUCCUUGUCGGUUAAAUACCGACCUGCAUGAAUGGCGUAACGAGAUGGGAGCUGUCUCAAAGAGGGAUCCAGUGAAAUUGUAGUGGAGGUGAAAAUUCCUCCUACCCGCGGCAAGACGGAAAGACCCCGUGGACCUUUACUACAGCUUGACACUGCUACUUGGAUAAGAAUGUGCAGGAUAGGUGGGAGGCUUUGAGUAUAUGACGCCAGUUGUAUAUGAGCCAUUGUUGAGAUACCACUCUUUCUUAUUUGGGUAGCUAACCAGCUUGAGUUAUCCUCAAGUGGGACAAUGUCUGGUGGGUAGUUUGACUGGGGCGGUCGCCUCCCAAAUAAUAACGGAGGCUUACAAAGGUUGGCUCAGAACGGUUGGAAAUCGUUCGUAGAGUAUAAAGGUAUAAGCCAGCUUAACUGCAAGACAUACAAGUCAAGCAGAGACGAAAGUCGGUCUUAGUGAUCCGGUGGUUCUGUGUGGAAGGGCCAUCGCUCAAAGGAUAAAAGGUACCCCGGGGAUAACAGGCUGAUCUCCCCCAAGAGCUCACAUCGACGGGGAGGUUUGGCACCUCGAUGUCGGCUCAUCGCAUCCUGGGGCUGGAGCAGGUCCCAAGGGUAUGGCUGUUCGCCAUUUAAAGCGGUACGCGAGCUGGGUUCAGAACGUCGUGAGACAGUUCGGUCCCUAUCUGCCGUGGGCGUAAGAAGAUUGAAGAGAUUUGACCCUAGUACGAGAGGACCGGGUUGAACAAACCACUGGUGUAGCUGUUGUUCUGCCAAGAGCAUCGCAGCGUAGCUAAGUUUGGAAAGGAUAAACGCUGAAAGCAUCUAAGCGUGAAGCCAACUCUAAGAUGAAUCUUCUCUAAGCUCUCUAGAAGACUACUAGUUUGAUAGGCUGGGUGUGUAAUGGAUGAAAGUCCUUUAGCUGACCAGUACUAAUAGAGCGUUUGGCUUAUCUUUAAUAAAGCAU